RNAcentral lists this ribosomal RNA (253 nucleotides) under uncultured bacterium. Its description in RNAcentral is "partial 16S ribosomal RNA". It matches the Rfam family "Bacterial small subunit ribosomal RNA", at positions 524 to 776 of the family's 1533-position model. The record is from RNAcentral.
AACGUAGGAGACAACCGUUAUCCGGAGUUACUGGGCGUAAAGGGCGUGUAGGUGGUAGAGUAAGUCUGGCGUGAAAUUUUUCGGCUUAACCGGGAAAGGUCGUCGGAUACUGCUUAACUAGAGGACGGUAGAGGAGAGUGGAAUUCCUGGUGUAGCGGUGAAAUGCGCAGAUAUCAGGAAGAAUAUCCGUGGCGAAGGCGGCUCUCUGGUACGGCACUGACGCUGAGACGCGAAAGCGUGGGGAGCGAACAGG